This 254-nucleotide ribosomal RNA is filed under the name uncultured bacterium. RNAcentral describes it as "partial 16S ribosomal RNA". It matches the Rfam family "Bacterial small subunit ribosomal RNA", at positions 524 to 776 of the family's 1533-position model. The record is from RNAcentral.
UACGGAGGGUGCAAGCGUUAUCCGGAUUCACUGGGUUUAAAGGGUGCGUAGGUGGGUCUGUAAGUCAGUGGUGAAAUCUCCAAGCUUAACUUGGAACUGCCGUUGAUACUAUAGACCUUGAAUGCUGUGGAGGUGAGCGGAAUAUGUCAUGUAGCGGUGAAAUGCUUAGAUAUGACAUAGAACACCAAAUUGCGAAGGCAGCUCACUACCCAGAUAUUGACACUGAGGCACGAAAGCGUGGGGGAUCAAACAGG